AUGAAAUCCGGUUGAUCCUGCCGGAGGCGACCGCUAUUGGAGUUCGAUUAAGACAUGCGAGUCAGAGCACUAGCUCGGCAUACCGCUCAGUAACACGUGGGUAACCUGCCCUAUUGUUUCGAAUAACCUCGGGAAACUGAGAACAACACGACAUAGUCCACUACGCCUGGAACGGUGAGUGGAUAAAGAUAGGAUGGGCCUGCGGCGUAUCAGGUCGUAGGGGGUGUAAAGGACCUCCUAGCCAUCAACGCGUACGGGUGUUGGGAGACAUUGCCCGGAGAUGGAUUCUGAGACACGAAUCCAGGCCCUACGGGGCGCAGCAGUUACGAAAACUUGGCAAUGCGGGAAACCGUGACCAGGGAACUCCAAGUGCAUCGGGUAAGACCUAUGCUUUUCUUGACUCUAAAACGGUCUUGGAAUAAGGGGUGGGUAAGGACGGUGCCAGCCGCCGCGGUAAUACCGGCGCCUCAAGUGGUCGUCGCUUUUAUUGGGCCUAAAACGUCCGUAGCCGGUCUGGUACAUUCGUGGGUAAAUCAGCUCGCUCAACGAGUUGAAUUCUGCGAGGACGGCCAGACUUGGGACCGGGAGAGGUGUGGGGUACUCUCAGGGUAGGGGUAAAAUCCUGUCAUCCUGAGAGGACCACCUGUUGCGAAGGCGCCACACUAGAACGGAUCCGACGGUCAGGGACGAAGCCUAGGG
Molecule: ribosomal RNA, 699 nt
Filed under: Candidatus Poseidoniales archaeon
Lineage: Archaea; Methanobacteriati; Thermoplasmatota; Candidatus Poseidoniia; Candidatus Poseidoniales
Description: bacterial SSU rRNA
Rfam family: Archaeal small subunit ribosomal RNA
Source: RNAcentral